UUAGGAAAUUUUCACAAUGGGGGAAACCCUGAUGGAGUAACGCCGCGUGCAGGAUGACGGCCUUCGGGUUGUAAACUGCUUUUCUGUGGGAAGAGUAGAAGACGGUACCACAGGAAGAAGCCUCGGCUAACUACGUGCCAGCAGCCGCGGUAAUACGUAGGAGGCGAGCGUUGUCCGGAAUUACUGGGCGUAAAGAGCGCGUAGGCGGCAUGGUACGACCUGUGUGAAAGCCCCCGGCUCAACUGGGGAGGUCAUGGGUAACGGCCGAGCUAUGAGUGCAGGAGAGGGACGUGGAACUCCGGGAGUAGCGGUGAAAUGCGUAGAGACCCGGAGGAACACCAGUGGCGAAGGCGGCGUCCUGGCCUGCGACUGACGCUGUGGCGCGAAAGC
RNAcentral lists this ribosomal RNA (390 nucleotides) under uncultured bacterium. RNAcentral describes it as "bacterial SSU rRNA". It matches the Rfam family "Bacterial small subunit ribosomal RNA", at positions 355 to 760 of the family's 1533-position model. The record is from RNAcentral.